GGUGUCGUGGUGUAGUUGGUUAUCACGUCAGUCUAACACACUGUAGGUCUCCGGUUUGAGUCCGGGCGACGCCA
This 74-nucleotide transfer RNA is filed under the name Glycine max (soybean). Its description in RNAcentral is "tRNA-Val". The record is from RNAcentral. Lineage: Eukaryota; Viridiplantae; Streptophyta; Magnoliopsida; Fabales; Fabaceae.